RNAcentral lists this long non-coding RNA (612 nucleotides) under Nicotiana tabacum (common tobacco). RNAcentral's name for it is "long non-coding RNA (NTAB_LNC009549)". Lineage: Eukaryota; Viridiplantae; Streptophyta; Magnoliopsida; Solanales; Solanaceae. The record is from RNAcentral.
UCGUCCCCGACAUUCCUUCGUGUAUACUUAUUUCUUCACAAUCUGAUUUAAGCUUCCAGUAGACAAGGUUAUUGAGUAGAUGUGCUGGUAAUAAAAGAUCUGCCUAGCUCAAAUCGUCCUGAUAGUUUGGAGGUUGGUUUUCUAUCUUUGCCAUAUGUCCUCUAUGGUCGACUUGCCCUUCACUUUUGGUAUCUCAUCCAUAUUCCCCUCUCCCCAAAGAUCUACCGGAGUGGCAUGUUCACCAUGAAUCAUCGGGGGAAGUUGUCCCUACUUACUGGUUAUAAUGACUACCACAAUCAGAGAUGGUUUCAAAGGUUCAUGAUGCCAAACGGGUACCUCGUUAACUCAGAGAAAUUGUCUUUCCUAGAGAAGCAAAAUCCCAACUUUAAGUACCCUUUCUUAGGGUUUUUAGCUUUUAGUCAAUGGAUUUCUCUAACUUUUAUCUUUUGCAGGGUUGAUGAUAUUGAAGAAUGGGUGUCCUAGAUUCUAAGGGUUUAUUCCACAGAAUUAUGGACGUGGAAGAAUAUUGCUUUCGGUCUUAACCUGAGAACCAAAACCUACGGAGUUCCCACUCAUGGUCCUCCCAAGGAGAAACGACAUCCUCUACCUCGG